GCGGGAGUAACUCAGUUGGUAGAGUGCAACCUUGCCAAGGUUGAUGUCGCGAGUUCGAACCUCGUCUCCCGCUCCA
This 76-nucleotide transfer RNA is filed under the name Duodenibacillus sp. Its description in RNAcentral is "tRNA-Gly". It matches the Rfam family "tRNA". Rfam says of the family: Transfer RNA (tRNA) molecules are approximately 80 nucleotides in length. The record is from RNAcentral. Lineage: Bacteria; Pseudomonadati; Pseudomonadota; Betaproteobacteria; Burkholderiales; Sutterellaceae.